CCUACGGGAGGCUGCAGUGAGGAAUAUUGGUCAAUGGGCGUAAGCCUGAACCAGCCAAGUCGCGUGAGGGAUGAAGGUUCUAUGGAUCGUAAACCUCUUUUGUAAGGGAAUAAAGAGCGGGACGUGUCUCGUGUUGUGUGUACCUUAUGAAAAAGGAUCGGCUAACUCCGUGCCAGCAGCCGCGGUAAUACGGAGGAUCCGAGCGUUAUCCGGAUUUAUUGGGUUUAAAGGGUGCGUAGGCGGCCUUUUAAGUCAGCGGUGAAAGCCUGUGGCUCAACCACAGAAUUGCCGUUGAAACUGGCAGUCUUGAGUAGGUUAGAGGCAGGCGGAAUGCGUGGUGUAGCGGUGAAAUGCUUAGAUAUCACGCAGAACCCCGAUUGCGAAGGCAGCCUGCCAGGCCAUGACUGACGCUGAUGCACGAAAGCGUGGGGAUCAAACAGGAUUAGAUACCCGUGUAGUC
This 460-nucleotide ribosomal RNA is filed under the name uncultured bacterium. RNAcentral describes it as "partial 16S ribosomal RNA". It matches the Rfam family "Bacterial small subunit ribosomal RNA", at positions 338 to 795 of the family's 1533-position model. The record is from RNAcentral.